This 489-nucleotide long non-coding RNA is filed under the name Penaeus monodon (black tiger shrimp). RNAcentral's name for it is "uncharacterized LOC119588525, transcript variant X1". The record is from RNAcentral. Lineage: Eukaryota; Metazoa; Arthropoda; Malacostraca; Decapoda; Penaeidae.
GUCGUAGCUGCAGCCGACUUUUGCAUCAGCUCAAAGUAUACUCAACAUCCACAUUCUAUAUUUUUAGGCCAUUUCCGUCUGCAAAAUGAAGCUCUUGGCUAUUGCUGUCAUCUUGUGCCUCGCUGUACUGUACACUCAGGCUUUACCAGCCGAAAUGCCAUCUUCACCACUGCUGCUCAGUCGUGUCGCCAGGUCACCUCACUUCCCUCAAGACUGUAUCCCGUGUACUUGUAAAACCACCAUCACACACAUUACCAUUAUCGAACAUGAAGUAAGGCCAACAGCCGCAAGGUUCGGUAACAGCCCCCAGUGCUGCCCAUGCCCUCCACCUUUCUGAUGCCCUUGUUUCUCAUGGACCGAUCACGCCAAUCUUCUGAGUAUCUUCUACACGGAAAAUAUGAAAAAAUCAGAAAAAAAAUACUGAACAAACCAAAUGUUAUAUUAUUAUUGAAUGUAAUCAUAUGCAAAUAAAAUUGGUGUAACUAACCA